RNAcentral lists this ribosomal RNA (498 nucleotides) under uncultured bacterium. RNAcentral describes it as "partial 16S ribosomal RNA". It matches the Rfam family "Bacterial small subunit ribosomal RNA", at positions 30 to 523 of the family's 1533-position model. The record is from RNAcentral.
AUUGAACGCUGGCGGCAUGCCUUACAUAUGCAAGUCGAACGGUAACAGGUCUUCGGAUGCUGACGAGUGGCGAACGGGUGAGUAAUACAUCGGAACGUGCCUAGUAGUGGGGGAUAACUACUCGAAAGAGUGGCUAAUACCGCAUGAGAUCUACGGAUGAAAGCAGGGGAUCGCAAGACCUUGUGCUACUAGAGCGGACGAUGGCAGAUUAGGUAGUUGGUGGGAUAAAAGCUUACCAAGCCGACGAUCUGUAGCUGGUCUGAGAGGACGAUCAGCCACACUGGGACUGAGACACGGCCCAGACUCCUACGGGAGGCAGCAGUGGGGAAUUUUGGACAAUGGGCGCAAGCCUGAUCCAGCAAUGCCGCGUGCAGGAUGAAGGCCUUCGGGUUGUAAACUGCUUUUGUACGGAACGAAAAGCCCUGGGUUAAUACCCUGGGGUCAUGACGGUACCGUAAGAAUAAGCACCGGCUAACUACGUGCCAGCAGCCGCCGUAA